CCUACGGGAGGCUGCAGUGAGGAAUAUUGGACAAUGGACGAGAGUCUGAACCAGCCAAGUAGCGUGAAGGAUGACUGCCCUAUGGGUGGUAAAUUUCUUUUAUAUGGGAAUAAAACGUUCCACGUGUGGGAUUUUGUAUGUACCAUAUGAAUAAGGAUCGGCUAACUCCGUGCCAGCAGCCGCGGUAAUACGGAGGAUCCGAGCGUUAUGCGGAUUUAUUGGGUUUAAAGGGAGCAGAGGGUGAUUGUUAAGUCAGUUGUGAAAGUUUGCGGCUCAACCGUAAAAUUGCAGUUGAAACUGGCAGUCUUGAGUACAGUAGAGGUGGGCGGAAUUCGUUGUGUAGCGGUGAAAUGCUUAGAUAUCACGAAGAACUCCGAUUGCGAAGGCAGUUCACUGGACUGCAACUGACACUGAGGCUCGAAAGUGUGGGUAUCAAACAGGAUUAGAUACCCGUGUAGUC
Molecule: ribosomal RNA, 460 nt
Filed under: uncultured bacterium
Lineage: Bacteria
Description: partial 16S ribosomal RNA
Rfam family: Bacterial small subunit ribosomal RNA
Source: RNAcentral